UACGAAGGGGGCUAGCGUUGCUCGGAAUCACUGGGCGUAAAGCGCACGUAGGCGGGUCUUUAAGUCAGGGGUGAAAUCCUGGAGCUCAACUCCAGAACUGCCUUUGAUACUGAGGAUCUCGAGUCCGGGAGAGGUGAGUGGAACUCCGAGUGUAGAGGUGAAAUUCGUAGAUAUUCGGAAGAACACCAGUGGCGAAGGCGACACACUGGCCCGUUACUGACGCUGAGGCGCGAAAGCGUGGGGAGCAAACAGG
RNAcentral lists this ribosomal RNA (253 nucleotides) under uncultured bacterium. RNAcentral describes it as "partial 16S ribosomal RNA". It matches the Rfam family "Bacterial small subunit ribosomal RNA", at positions 524 to 776 of the family's 1533-position model. The record is from RNAcentral.